GAUUGCUGGCUACUCGUUAGUUAGAGGAAAGUCCAUGCUCGCACAGUCUGUGAUGGCUGUAGUGAUUGCGCUAACGAAAAAGAUAACGUUAGGCACGUAGGAGUACGUGACGGCGGAAGGAUACCUAAGGCGAAAGCUAUGGUCGAAUUCCUGAAAGUGCCACAGUGACGAAGCUUACUUGAAAGGGUAAGGUGAAACGCGGUAAACCCCACAAGCGAGAAACCCAAAUUUGGUAGGGGAGGUUAGCUAGAGAAACGAAUCGACGCUAACAGGCUAUGCCUAGAUAAAUUAUCAUCCUAGACAAAACAUGGCUUAUAG
Molecule: RNase P RNA, 318 nt
Filed under: bovine gut metagenome
Description: Bacterial RNase P class B
Rfam family: Bacterial RNase P class B
About the family: Ribonuclease P (RNase P) is a ubiquitous endoribonuclease, found in archaea, bacteria and eukarya as well as chloroplasts and mitochondria.
Source: RNAcentral